RNAcentral lists this ribosomal RNA (504 nucleotides) under uncultured bacterium. RNAcentral describes it as "partial 16S ribosomal RNA". It matches the Rfam family "Bacterial small subunit ribosomal RNA", at positions 29 to 523 of the family's 1533-position model. The record is from RNAcentral.
AUUGAACGCUGGCGGCAGGCCUAACACAUGCAAGUCGGACGGUAGCACAGAGAGCUUGCUCUCGGGUGACGAGUGGCGGACGGGUGAGUAAUGUCUGGGAAACUGCCCGAUGGAGGGGGAUAACUACUGGAAACGGUAGCUAAUACCGCAUAACGUCUUCGGACCAAAGUGGGGGACCUUCGGGCCUCACACCAUCGGAUGUGCCCAGAUGGGAUUAGCUAGUAGGUGGGGUAAUGGCUCACCUAGGCGACGAUCCCUAGCUGGUCUGAGAGGAUGGCAGGCAACACUAGAACGGAGACACGGUCCAGACUCCUACGGGAGGCAGCAGUGGGGGAUAUUGCACAAGGGGCGCAAGCCUGAUGCAGCCAUGCCGCGUGUAUGAAGAAGGCCUUCGGGUUGUAAAGUACUUUCAGCGGGGAGGAAGGCGAUGGAGUUAAUAGCUUCAUCGAUUGACGUUACCCGCAGAAGAAGCACCGGCUAACUCCGUGCCAGCCGCCGCCGUAA